UACGUAGGCAGCAAGCGUUGUUCGGAGUUACUGGGCGUAAAGAGUGUGUAGGUGGUCCUCUAAGUUUGGUGUGAAAUCUCCCGGCUCAACUGGGAGGGUGCGCCGAAAACUGGGGGGCUUGAGUGUGGGAGAGGAAAGCGGAAUUCCUGGUGUAGCGGUGAAAUGCGUAGAUAUCAGGAGGAACACCUGCGGUGUAGACGGCUUUCUGGACCACUACUGACACUGAGACACGAAAGCGUGGGUAGCAAACAGG
Molecule: ribosomal RNA, 253 nt
Filed under: uncultured bacterium
Lineage: Bacteria
Description: partial 16S ribosomal RNA
Rfam family: Bacterial small subunit ribosomal RNA
Source: RNAcentral